This 424-nucleotide ribosomal RNA is filed under the name Verrucomicrobiota bacterium. Its description in RNAcentral is "Verrucomicrobia bacterium partial 16S ribosomal RNA". It matches the Rfam family "Bacterial small subunit ribosomal RNA", at positions 355 to 776 of the family's 1533-position model. Lineage: Bacteria; Pseudomonadati; Verrucomicrobiota. The record is from RNAcentral.
UGAGGAAUAUUGGUCAAUGGACGAGAGUCUGAACCAGCCAAGUAGCGUGCAGGAUGACGGCCCUAUGGGUUGUAAACUGCUUUUGUUUGGGAAUAAUCGACAUUACGUGUAAUGUUUUGCAUGUACCAUUCGAAUAAGGACCGGCUAAUUCCGUGCCAGCAGCCGCGGUAAUACGGAAGGUCCAGGCGUUAUCCGGAUUUAUUGGGUUUAAAGGGAGUGUAGGCGGUUGGUUAAGCGUGUUGUGAAAUGUAGAUGCUCAACAUCUGACUUGCAGCGCGAACUGGCUGACUUGAGUACACACAACGUAGGCGGAAUUCAUGGUGUAGCGGUGAAAUGCUUAGAUAUCAUGAAGAACUCCGAUUGCGAAGGCAGCUUACGGGAGUGUUACUGACGCAUAAGCUCGAAGGUGCGGGUAUCGAACAGG